Molecule: unclassified non-coding RNA, 240 nt
Filed under: soil metagenome
Description: partial contains 5.8S ribosomal RNA, internal transcribed spacer 2, and large subunit ribosomal RNA
Source: RNAcentral
AACGCACGAGACCUGCGGACCUGCGGAAGGAUCAUUACAGAGUUUUCCGAACUCCAAACCCAUGUGAACAUACCUUACGUUGCCUCGGCAGGUCCGCGACCUACCCUGUAAGCCCCUACCCUGUAGGAGCCUACCCGGUAAGGCCCGGGCAGACGCCUGCCGGCGGCCCUGCAAAUACUGUCUAUUACUGAACUCUGAGCCUAUAACGUAAUGCGUUAAAACUUUUAACAAUGGAUCUCU